CCUACGGGCGGCAGCAGUGAGGAAUAUUGGUCAAUGGGCGGGAGCCUGAACCAGCCAAGCCGCGUGAAGGAAGAAGGUACAUCGUAUUGUAAACCUCUUUUGUCAGGGAACAAAGGCGGGGACUAGUCCCCGGAUGAGGGUACCUGAAGAAAAAGCAUCGGCUAACUCCGUGCCAGCAGCCGCGGUAAUACGGAGGAUGCGAGCGUUAUCCGGAUUUAUUGGGUUUAAAGGGUGCGCAGGCGGAAGUGCAAGUCAGCGGUAAAAUUGCGGGGCUCAACCCCGUACGGCCGUUGACACUGCAUCCCUUGAGUGCGCGAGAAGUAUGCGGAAUGCGUGGUGUAGCGGUGAAAUGCAUAGAUAUCACGCAGAACUCCGAUUGCGAAGGCAGCAUACCGGCGCGCAACUGACGCUGAUGCACGAAAGCGUGGGUAUCGAACAGGAUUAGAUACCCGGGUAGUC
Molecule: ribosomal RNA, 459 nt
Filed under: uncultured bacterium
Lineage: Bacteria
Description: partial 16S ribosomal RNA
Rfam family: Bacterial small subunit ribosomal RNA
Source: RNAcentral